This 400-nucleotide ribosomal RNA is filed under the name phytoplankton environmental sample. RNAcentral's name for it is "partial small subunit ribosomal RNA". It matches the Rfam family "Eukaryotic small subunit ribosomal RNA", at positions 587 to 991 of the family's 1831-position model. The record is from RNAcentral.
AGCUCCAAUAGCGUAUAUUAAAGUUGUUGCAGUUAAAAAGCUCGUAGUUGGAUUUGUGGUUGUUGCUAGUUGUUCUUCACUCAGUGUUGAAUUGUACGAGCGUCGCCAUCCUUGGGUGGAUCCUGUGUGGCAUUAGGUUGUCGUGCAGGGGAUGCCCAUCGUUUACUGUGAAAAAAUUAGAGUGUUCAAAGCAGGCUUAUGCCGUUGAAUAUAUUAGCAUGGAAUAAUAAGAUAGGACCUUGGUACUAUUUUGUUGGUUUGCGCACCAAGGUAAUGAUUAAUAGGGACAGUUGGGGGUAUUCGUAUUCCAUUGUCAGAGGUGAAAUUCUUGGAUUUCUGGAAGACGAACUACUGCGAAAGCAUUUACCAAGGAUGUUUUCAUUAAUCAAGAACGAAAGUA